CCUCUCAGGAAAGCUUUUUGCUCGAAUUAUGUUUCUCAUCCAAAUAUAAGACGAACAAAAGGUUUGUCUGAGGGCCG
RNAcentral lists this microRNA precursor (77 nucleotides) under Chinchilla lanigera (long-tailed chinchilla). Its description in RNAcentral is "microRNA 208b (ENSCLAG00000018128.1)". It matches the Rfam family "mir-208 microRNA precursor family". The record is from Rfam by way of RNAcentral. Lineage: Eukaryota; Metazoa; Chordata; Mammalia; Rodentia; Chinchillidae.